Molecule: ribosomal RNA, 253 nt
Filed under: uncultured bacterium
Lineage: Bacteria
Description: partial 16S ribosomal RNA
Rfam family: Bacterial small subunit ribosomal RNA
Source: RNAcentral
UACGUAGGGUGCAAGCGUUGUCCGGAAUUAUUGGGCGUAAAGAGCUCGUAGGCGGUCUGUCGCGUCGAAUGUGAAAACCCGGGGCUCAACCCCGGGCCUGCAUUCGAUACGGGCAGACUAGAGUUCGGUAGGGGAGUCUGGAAUUCCUGGUGUAGCGGUGAAAUGCGCAGAUAUCAGGAGGAACACCGGUGGCGAAGGCGAGACUCUGGGCCGAUACUGACGCUCAUGCACGAAAGCGUGGGGAGCAAACAGG